RNAcentral lists this ribosomal RNA (483 nucleotides) under uncultured bacterium. Its description in RNAcentral is "partial 16S ribosomal RNA". It matches the Rfam family "Bacterial small subunit ribosomal RNA", at positions 28 to 507 of the family's 1533-position model. The record is from RNAcentral.
GACGAACGCUGGCGGCGUGCUUAACACAUGCAAGUCGAACGCUGAAGCUCAGCUUUUGUUGGGUGGAUGAGUGGCGAACGGGUGAGUAACACGUGAGUAACCUGCCCCCUUCUUUGGGAUAACGCCCGGAAACGGGUGCUAAUACUGGAUAUUCACUGGUCUUCGCAUGGGGGUUGGUGGAAAGGGUUUUUCUGGUGGCGGAUGGGCUCGCGGCCUAUCAGCUUGUUGGUGGGGUGAUGGCCUACCAAGGCUUUGACGGGUAGCCGGCCUGAGAGGGUGACCGGUCACAUUGGGACUGAGAUACGGCCCAGACUCCUACGGGAGGCAGCAGUGGGGAAUAUUGCACAAUGGGCGCAAGCCUGAUGCAGCGACGCCGCGUGAGGGAUGGAGGCCUUCGGGUUGUGAACCUCUUUCGCUCAUGGUCAAGCCGCAACAAUGGUUGUGGUGAGGGUAGUGGGUAAAGAAGCGCCGGCUAACUACGUG